AAAGAAGAAGAAUGAAAAAUA
This 21-nucleotide small RNA is filed under the name Arabidopsis thaliana (thale cress). RNAcentral's name for it is "ATSL076410". The record is from RNAcentral. Lineage: Eukaryota; Viridiplantae; Streptophyta; Magnoliopsida; Brassicales; Brassicaceae.